Cebus imitator (Panamanian white-faced capuchin) is the source of this 79-nucleotide microRNA precursor. Lineage: Eukaryota; Metazoa; Chordata; Mammalia; Primates; Cebidae. The record is from Ensembl.
GGAGAAUUGCUUGAGCCUGGGAGAUGGAGGUUGCAGUGAGCUGAGAUCGCACCACUGCACUCCAGCCUGGGCAACAGAG